CGCCAUAUAGUGCACCAACAUGUUGCAUGAACUGAAAAUCUGUCGUAUAAAGAGUUACGAAAACCGGUUCACGUGUUAUGUGUCUUCAUUUGUAGAGUACGGUUAGGUCAGAUUUGUUUCCACAAGGGGCGAUGUGUACGGCUAUGGAAUCUUGCUCGUAGAAACUUUCACAGGAAAGAGGCCGAUGGAUGAGACAUUUUCCAGGGAAGAAAGCUUGAAGCGCUGGAUCGAGUAGUCUUCCUAGUGCACUU
Molecule: long non-coding RNA, 251 nt
Organism: Syzygium oleosum
Lineage: Eukaryota; Viridiplantae; Streptophyta; Magnoliopsida; Myrtales; Myrtaceae
Exons: 2
Source: RefSeq, a predicted model, not a curated record